Molecule: ribosomal RNA, 254 nt
Filed under: uncultured bacterium
Lineage: Bacteria
Description: partial 16S ribosomal RNA
Rfam family: Bacterial small subunit ribosomal RNA
Source: RNAcentral
UACGGGGGGUGCGAGCGUUGUCCGGAAUUAUUGGGCGUAAAGAGCUCGUAGGCGGUGUGUCACGUCGGCCGUGAAAACCUGCAGCUUAACUGUGGGCGUGCGGUCGAUACGGGCAUCACUGGAGUUCGGCAGGGGAGACUGGAAUUCCUGGUGUAGCGGUGAAAUGCGCAGAUAUCAGGAGGAACACCGGUGGCGAAGGCGGGUCUCUGGGCCGAUACUGACGCUGAGGAGCGAAAGCGUGGGGAGCAAACAGG